Molecule: ribosomal RNA, 253 nt
Filed under: uncultured bacterium
Lineage: Bacteria
Description: partial 16S ribosomal RNA
Rfam family: Bacterial small subunit ribosomal RNA
Source: RNAcentral
UACAGGGGGGGUAAGCGUUGUUCGGAAUUACUGGGCGUAAAGGGCUCGUAGGCGGCCAACUAAGUCAUACGUGAAAUCCCUCAGCUUAACUGGGGAACUGCGUGUGAUACUGGAUGGCUUGGAUUUGGGAGAGGGAUGCGGAAUUCCAGGUGUAGCGGUGAAAUGCGUAGAUAUCUGGAGGAACACCGGUGGCGAAGGCGGCAUCCUGGACCAAUAUUGACGCUGAGGAGCGAAAGCCAGGGGAGCAAACGGG